RNAcentral lists this transfer RNA (72 nucleotides) under Bos taurus (domestic cattle). It matches the Rfam family "tRNA". From Rfam's summary of the family: Transfer RNA (tRNA) molecules are approximately 80 nucleotides in length. Their secondary structure includes four short double-helical elements and three loops (D, anti-codon, and T loops). Lineage: Eukaryota; Metazoa; Chordata; Mammalia; Artiodactyla; Bovidae. The record is from Rfam by way of RNAcentral. RNAcentral also lists the same sequence under 1 other name.
UUCCUGAUAACUCAGUUGGUAAAGAAUCUGCCUGCAAUGCAGGAGACCCUGGUUCGAUUCCUGGGUAGGGAA